CUACGGGGGGCAGCAGUCGAGGAAAUUUUACAAUGCUCGCAAGAGUGAUAGAAUAAACCAGAGUGUUCUAUUUAAUAGAACUUUUAUCUGCUGUAAAAAGGCAGAUGAAUAAGGGCUGGGCAAGACCGGUGCCAGCCGCCGCGGUAAUACCGGCGGUCCAAGUCGUAUCCACAUUUAUUGGGUCUAAAACAUUCGUAGCUUGUUUUGCAAGUCUCUUGUGAAAUCUGACAUCUCAAAUGUCAGGCGUGCAAGAGAUACUACAUUACUAGAGACCGGAAGACGUAAGGAGUAUGGUUGAGGUAGCGGUAAAAUGUGUUAAUCUCAAUUAGACUAACAAUGGCGAAGGCACCUUACGAGUACGGAUCUGACAGUGAGGGAUGAAGGCUAGGGGCGCAAAAGGGAUUAGAUACCCCCGUAGUC
This 420-nucleotide ribosomal RNA is filed under the name uncultured archaeon. Its description in RNAcentral is "partial 16S ribosomal RNA". It matches the Rfam family "Archaeal small subunit ribosomal RNA", at positions 323 to 746 of the family's 1478-position model. The record is from RNAcentral.